GUUAAAACCGUUGUUGGUUCACAGCCUCGAAACCUGUCACGGAGCCAAUGGCCAGGGCUGUUCUCUCUCAGCCUCUCAGCGUACCGUCGUCUUAUCCACUCUCUUCCCUUUCCGCCUCCACAAAAUCGUACUACUAUUUCACUCCCGCCACCACAAGAAUCAGACCGGCAACCGCCGGCGGCAGAAUAACUGUCAGUGCCAAGGGCAAAGACGAAACGGGCGACGCCGACGCCGAUUCUCCUGGUUUCAGUCCGUUUGGGUUCGUGACAGACAAUCCGUCAAGCCGAAGUGCGAUUCAACUUCCUGAGAGCCCCGCUGAGGAUGGAAAUGUCGGGCAGAUGCUCUAUAGGAUAGAGGACAAGGGAAAGGAAUAUGGCUCUUACGUCAAAUCUGGGAAAUUCAGAUGGUUUGUUAGAGAGACAGGGGCCGCCAACAGCCGGCGGGGAACUAUAGUCUUCCUUCAUGGCGCUCCAACACAAUCUUAUAGCUAUCGAGUUGUCAUGAACGAGUUGUCUGCUCUUGGAUUCCACUGCUUUGCUCCUGAUUGGAUAGGAUUCGGUUUCAGUGACAAACCGCAACCAGGAUAUGGCUUUAAUUAUACAGAGAAAGAGUACCACGAGGAACUGGAUAAACUACUUGAUGUGCUCGGCGUCGACUCUCCCUUUAACUUAGUGAUUCAGGGUUUUCUGGUGGGAUCAUAUGGAUUGACAUGGGCCUUGAAAAAUCAGAGCAGGAUAUCAAAGAUAUCCAUUCUAAACAGUCCAUUAACGGUUUCUUCUCCUGUUCCUGGGUUAUUUCAACAGCUAAGGAUCCCUCUGUUUGGUGAAUUUACAUGCCAGAAUGCAGUUAUGGCAGAACGUUUUAUUGAAGCAGGCAGCGCAUACGUAUUAAAGCUGGAAAAGGCUGAUGUUUAUAGACUUCCAUACUUGUCUAGUGGAGGACCUGGUUUUGCUUUACUCGAAGCAGCAAGAAAAGCUAAUUUCAAUGAUAUUUUAAGUCGGAUAAGUGCUGGCUUUGCUUCUGGAAGAUGGGACAAACCAGGUCUUGUUCUUUGGGGCAUUUCAGACAAGUAUCUACCUCAGUCCAUUGCAGAAGAGUUCCAAAACCAGAACUCAUCAACAAUCCGGCUCAAGCUUAUUGAAGGAGCUGGCCACAUGCCCCAAGAGGACUGGCCCGAGAAGGUCAUCGAGGCUUUGCGGUCGUUUUUCUGAAACUUCCUGGCUUAGAGGGCGGUCCCCUUCUUCCUCUUUGAAAUUUUCGUCAAGAAAAGCUUAAUUGACGUUUAACCCGAACGAAAGUUGGAGUCAUGCUGAAUGACCAAAAAUUAUAGUUUCUUAAAAGAAUAUGAAAAUUUGGGAACAAACCGACAAUAUCCGAAGUUGAGAAAAGCUUUGGUCAAUACCUCCACUUGUCGAAAGCAAAAGGGCAAACGUUUGACGCGAUUUUAUUAAGAGAGAAAAUGUGACGAACACCGUCAAUAAUGACCUUUUUGUGUUUAGAUUACUUUAGAAUUAGGAGAGAAAAAAGGAAAAACACAAAUUCAAACAUGUUUUUCUCAUUAUUGAUUUAACUGUCUUGUAUUCAAAUGAGAUGUGAUUGAACUAAGUCGAGCAUAGUUCAAUGGAUAAAAUUACAAACUACCAUCA
RNA transcript from Cucurbita pepo subsp. pepo (vegetable marrow), 1646 nucleotides. It is a transcript of the gene named alpha/beta-Hydrolases superfamily protein, with no coding region annotated. NCBI's taxonomy places the organism in Eukaryota, Viridiplantae, Streptophyta, Magnoliopsida, Cucurbitales, Cucurbitaceae. The record is from RefSeq and is a predicted model, not a curated record.